RNAcentral lists this non-coding RNA (30 nucleotides) under Mus musculus (house mouse). Lineage: Eukaryota; Metazoa; Chordata; Mammalia; Rodentia; Muridae. The record is from RNAcentral. RNAcentral also lists the same sequence under 1 other name.
UCCAUUGGAAUAACAGCAGCAGAAGGCACC